This 1071-nucleotide unclassified non-coding RNA is filed under the name Athalia rosae (coleseed sawfly). RNAcentral's name for it is "misc RNA ENSAEAG00005008264.1". Lineage: Eukaryota; Metazoa; Arthropoda; Insecta; Hymenoptera; Athaliidae. The record is from RNAcentral.
GGGAAAGAGGUGGCUGUCAGUUGUUAGUAUUGCGUAAUACUUACGAUGUGGAAUGCUGCUUUGAAACUAGAAACCUCUGAGAGCGGCAGUAGUGUAUCUCCUUUAGAUAAAGCGACAUGCAAGAACGCGAGCAGAUAGGUAUAAAGCUACCUGACAGCGGCAGCUGCGCUGUCCUCUUUCCAUCUUUUACAUAUCGUGUGAAUCGAGAGAGUUGCAACAAUGGAAAUAUAACGUCGCGGUGUAUCUAUAGGUAGACGGGAUAUUGUAUACCUGCAACACAACUUUGAACAUAUCUCUGAAACUGCACACGUUCACGCAUGAACUAGAUUUCACGCAUGCUCAAUUCCCCCGUUAAAACCAACCGUACGUAGACACCAGGUUGUUACCCACCUACCUACCUAACUACUGCCUACUCUCAAUAAAACCCAGGCGUAGGUUGAAACUAAAAAUUUAUUGUUGAUCACUUGCAACGAUUAUAUUGCAGAAUCGCGAGGUCUCGAUUUAUGGACAUGUACGUACCCCACUACUUCAUGUACGAAAUGACUACUGUGCGCUGUUAAUUUGAUAAUUAAUAUCGAACACAACGAAAUCCGACGCGUUUGUGUAAUAAAAAGAAUAGCGUUAAAUGUCUGAUUACUUUUUCCUUUCCUUUUCUUUUUUUUUUUUUUUUUUUUUUUCGGUGUUCUUCUAAUAAUAAAUCAGAGGCUGAUAUAUCUGGACAACUCCGAGAGUUGUACGUACGUACCCAAAUAGAAUUCUAUCUAUAAUUACUCUGAGGUAGAGUAAUUAAUUUCUCACUUGCGCGAUACUCACCGGGAUAGUUCGAAUGAUUUCACGUGUUUUUUUUUUUUUUUGUUAUAAAAUACCACAAACCGAGUGGGUAGCGCGAGUUAUAAGUUCACGUAAUAGGAAAUUCUUUCAAUCGACCGGCAGACAUCGUGAUUAAUUAUCUAAACCCGUAUGACGUGUCAUUCAAUUGCCGAUCAUUAAUAUCGACCACGAGUUGACCAACUCCACCUGCCCACGAGCAAUGUUCGACGCCGACGAAUCUUGGAUGAUAAGAAAAAGAAA